RNAcentral lists this ribosomal RNA (469 nucleotides) under uncultured bacterium. RNAcentral describes it as "bacterial SSU rRNA". It matches the Rfam family "Bacterial small subunit ribosomal RNA", at positions 328 to 797 of the family's 1533-position model. The record is from RNAcentral.
ACCCCAGACUCCUACGGGAGGCAGCAGUGAGGAAUAUUGGUCAAUGGGCGCGAGCCUGAACCAGCCAAGCCGCGUGAAGGAAUAAGGCCCUACGGGUCGUAAACUUCUUUAGUCAGGGAACAAAGGGUGCCACGUGUGGCGCUGUGAGUGUACCUGAAGAAUAAGCAUCGGCUAACUCCGUGCCAGCAGCCGCGGUAAUACGGAGGAUGCGAGCGUUAUCCGGAUUUAUUGGGUUUAAAGGGUGCGUAGGCGGAAUGCCAAGUCAGCGGUAAAAUCGCGGGGCUCAACCUCGCUCCGCCGUUGAAACUGGCGUUCUUGAGUGGGCGAGAAGUAUGCGGAAUGCGUGGUGUAGCGGUGAAAUGCAUAGAUAUCACGCAGAACUCCGAUUGCGAAGGCAGCAUACCGGCGCCCAACUGACGCUGAAGCACGAAAGCGUGGGUAUCGAACAGGAUUAGAUACCCUAGUACCG